This is a long non-coding RNA of Olea europaea var. sylvestris, 4119 nucleotides long. RefSeq lists it as uncharacterized. The record is from RefSeq and is a predicted model, not a curated record. The transcript has 3 exons. NCBI's taxonomy places the organism in Eukaryota, Viridiplantae, Streptophyta, Magnoliopsida, Lamiales, Oleaceae.
GUAGGAAAAAAAUUAUGGAUCCCAUAAGUUGUUUUGGGAAAAAAUGAUUUUUAAGAAGGAAAUCUCUCCUAAACAAACUCUAGCUUGCUUGCCCGAUAAAUAAACUUAUAAGUAAGGUGAGACAUCAGACAUGUUUGCCAUACCAAUAAGAAUUCAACACCAAAAGCUAAGUACUAUUUGACAGUAAGCGUGAAUGCUUCAGCUCCUAUGUCUUCCCAAAGAUAAAUUAUUCUUUUCUUCUGAAGAACUUAUUUAAUAGACUUGGCUCUUAUCACUGCCAAGGCUUAUUGUUCCGUGUUUCUUCAGAAAUAAUUCUACUUUAUGCUCCAUAAUUCGGACUUUCAAGAGCUUAAUUAAAUGCUACUUGGUAUAGUGAGAAUUCCAUCAUUUUACAAGAAAAUAAAGCUUGAGAUAUUUGUUCAAAGUUGAGAUUGUACAGCAAAUUAAAGCACAUUCAGCUGUGCUUAAACAUAAGUAAAAGUUACUUUUAAGUGAUUUUUUUAUUUUCAAUCAUGUUUGAAUGAGCAACAUUUCUCUUAUUUCAAAGUAAAAAAAAGUAACUUUAAUUGUAAUACUUACUGUAAUGUCAUGUCAAAUUUUAAUUAAUAAAAAUAAUCUCUCUACUGAAAGCACAUAUGGUAGAUGGGGUUUUCAAUUAUACAGUUUUCUUGUUCAUUCUUAUGUGACUCUCAAAGCACAUAUUGUAGAUGGGGAAGGGGUGUGAGAAGAAGACUAUUUUCUAAGAUUUAAAAUACCAAGUAUAAAAUGUUGAAAAUAGAAGUACAAAAGGGGUCGAACAUUAAACUGUACGUGUAAUUUAUUGUUAGAAAUUUAGUGAAAAUAUAGGGAUUAUCUGGACUUAUAAGUUAGGAGGUGUAGAUUUUAUAAUCAUGAAAUAAGAUGGGGACCAUUGUCUUUUCCAUUAUUGUAAUUGAAUUACUUUUUUUGUAGGUAAUUUUAAUUUUUUUUUAUUUAAGCCUUCUUUAUUAUAUAUUGGGUCUUGAUAAAUUAUGUUUUUUGAUGGUCAGUUUAAUUUACUACUCUUUUUGUCCCUCUUUUUUUUAUUAAGGGACUACUACCAAUUAUUAAUUAUCUCUUUCUAUUUUUCUUAAUCAUUAUUUUCUUAAUCUAUUGCUACUAAAAUUUCAUGGAGGUAACUCUAUUUCUCAUUAGCUUCUAAUGGCUUUUUCUCCACAUUUUUACCAUUUAUGUUUAGCAUAAUAGGUCUUGCUAAUAUUCUUAAUACAGAUAGUAAAACUUAUUAGCCAACUAGUAAAUUUUCCCAUUCAAUACUCUUUCGACUAAAUGUUCCCUUUUUUCUCUUCAUCCUUCGUAUUGGAAGAAUAGACAAAAAAAUUGAUAUUAUUCAACCUAAGAUCUAUUUAAAUGUAGCAAUAAAAAUGAAAAUUUUUCUAUUGGAUAAUUACAAUAGUAUCACAGAAUUGAAGUCCUUAAAACAUUUCAACAAUAAAUUGUUACAUGAAUAAGAUAGCCUUCGAUUGAGAAAAAUACUAUUUGGUUGAAAUAAAUACUUGAAACUUUUAGUAGAAUUGGUAUCAUGUACUAAUAUCCAGAAAAGCAAAACAACUGCACAUCAUCAGUUACUCGAUAAUGCAAUAGUAAUUAUGAACUGAUAAAAAAAAAUCUUGACAUCCUAGAGCCAAGUUAAGGGAAAAAUGAACUUCUUAAUCAAAAUGAUCAAUCUUCAAGUCAAUAGCAUGCUAAAAGGUAAGGUAGCACAUAAUUUCUAUAAAAUAUCAUGUUUCAAUUUUGUUGAUAAUUGUCUCUUUUAUGGUGCUUUUUUCUUGAACAAAUAAGGGCUUUCGAUUAUUGUUGAACAUUUAAUGUAUAUAUUUAUCAAUUGUCUCUGUAGUAUAAAUAUUAUGUCAAACAGGGUUGAUCUACCACACCAUUUCUUUACAAUUAUUGCAAGUUCAUUGGGCCAUAACGAUCGUCUGGCGAGUUCUAAAAUGAUCUCUUUGUUAGCAUUUAUUUAUUGGGCCAUAAUAUUCGUUUGGUGAGUUCUAAAACUAAAUAUAAAGUAAAUAAUAUUCCUUAUAAGACUUAUAUUUUUUUAUAGUCGACACCGAGAACUUUUGUACAACGCUUGGGACACGAUCUUACUCAUGCAGUACGUUUGAUUGGUUAUGAUGACAUUAUCCGUAGCAUACAACUCGAAAGAGUUGAUGAUAACAUAUAUCUUGCUGCUGGACGGCCACAGUUUUUUAACCACCAUAAUUUGCAAAAUGGUUAUGUUAUUGUCUUUGAAUACCAAGGAAAUUCUACUUUCGAUGUUUCGAUAUUUGACCAUUCAGGCGUAGAAGUGACGUAUUAGUCUGAGGGAUUUGAGGUAGAGCUUUCACAUAGUGGUAAUCCUAUUUUCCGAGUAAUAUUAGAGGCUGCUCGCGAUGGUUAUAGAAUAAUUGUGAGCUCCUCUUUCACUUGAAUCUCUUUUAUCUUUAUCUUUCUCAAAUUACACGUAUGAACAAUUUUCAUAUUUGUUUUUCUCAUCUAAUUUGAAAUUUCACGACUUAUAGAUUUGUCAUUCUAUUUUGUAGUAUGUACCUAGAGCCUUCGCUCGAUUGUAUCUACCAAAAUUUGUACAGAGUGUUCAAAUCCAUGAUAGUUCACAUUAUAAUUGGUUAGUGCAAACGAAUCUAAGAACCAAUGGUUAUGUAUGACAUUUCACCGUAGAUUGGGCAGAUUAUGUUAGGGAGAAACGGUUUCAAAUACGUGAAACAUGUGUAUUUGAACUUAUAGACGAUGAAAUCCCAAUGUUCGUGGUUUACAAAGUGUGUCGCACUGAUGGGACUAUUACAUAAAUUGUACAUCUUCAUUCGUAGCUUUCACGUUUGCUUAUUAUGGAACAUCUGUUAUGUUCUCUUAUGUAUGAACACUAUAUAACUAGAUCCAUUGGGAUUUUGACUUGUAAUUUGCUUAUGUUCUUAUUUCAAGAUCGCAUCCAAUUUGUAGAUUCUGUUCAUUUUGAAUAGGUUGUAACAGAAAUUUGAUUUAAUUACAUAUAAUUAACCUAUAUGUUGAUGUCCUACAUUUGGACUUCAUGCAAUGCUACAUCAUCGUCAUUUGGAGUUUGACAACCUUCUAGCUAAAAUUAUUUCAAGUACAUCUAGAGAGUCAAAUAUUGGCAAUAGUGUUUGAGCCAUUUCCAAAGCAUUUAUCACUAAGUUUAGAAAGAACUCUUCUAAAAGUCUACCAUAAUUUAAAGGAGCAAUCAAAUAUCUUCACGAAAACUUCUCUUUUGUUUAUAGUUACAAAAUGAACAAGAUAUAGCUCAAACCAACAAUGACUUUUCUGUUAAAAUAUUUGAUUGUUCUUUUAAAUUAUAUUUUGCUUUUGGGAGACUUUUUCUAAUUUAGUGAUGAUUACUUUGGAAGAGGUGUAAACUCUAUAUUUCAACAUGAUAUUACAUUGAGGAAGCUUUUUAUGAUUAUAAUGGCUCAUCUAAUGGAUGAUCAAGUCAUAACAAAAGGAAAACUUCAUUCAUCAUCAUCAUACCAGUUUGAAGACAACAUCAAUGCCACAAUAUAAAAAUCUUAUUUGCUCAUUUUGUCCUUUCCAUCUAAAUGAUUCUACCACAACCACCUCCAAACCUUUGUUUUAUUUGAUAGUACUGAUAACAAGAACUUUGCGAGGCUUUUGGCUUGUAACUUUGUUUUAUUUUGAAAUACUACUUGUGUGAAAAGUCUUCCAUGAAGUUUGAGCUUAACAACAAUGUAUAAUAAGUUUCAUGAUGCUUUAGCUUCUAACUUGACUAUGAUGAUAUAAAGAGUGCAUCUUCUGAAACAUAUAGGUCAUCAUUCAUUUGCUUCUUACAAUAUUUGUUUUAGUCUAUUAGUUAACAUUUUAUUAUGAACCAUUAAUAGAAUUCUUUUUCAAAUUGAUUCCUCCAUCAUAGCUCUAUCUUUUUUAAGUUGCCGAAAGUAAACUUUGCACAAUUUGAUUAUUCCAUCAAAACUUCUCUUUCCCUUCUCCAUUAUCAACAUUACAAAAUAAGAUUUGACUAUUGGUAUCUAGAAAAUAACAAAUACCACUCUACGCUAUUACAUACUUAACUAUACUAUAACACGUGCCUUGCACGUGCGACCCACUAGUAUAAUA